RNAcentral lists this ribosomal RNA (662 nucleotides) under uncultured Weissella sp. Its description in RNAcentral is "bacterial SSU rRNA". It matches the Rfam family "Bacterial small subunit ribosomal RNA", at positions 150 to 797 of the family's 1533-position model. Lineage: Bacteria; Bacillati; Bacillota; Bacilli; Lactobacillales; Lactobacillaceae. The record is from RNAcentral.
UUGGAAACAGAUGCUAAUACCGUAUAACAAUGACAACCGCAUGGUUGUUAUUUAAAAGAUGGUUCUGCUAUCACUAAGAGAUGGUCCCGCGGUGCAUUAGCUAGUUGGUAAGGUAAUGGCUUACCAAGGCGAUGAUGCAUAGCCGAGUUGAGAGACUGAUCGGCCACAAUGGGACUGAGACACGGCCCAUACUCCUACGGGAGGCAGCAGUAGGGAAUCUUCCACAAUGGGCGAAAGCCUGAUGGAGCAACGCCGCGUGUGUGAUGAAGGGUUUCGGCUCGUAAAACACUGUUGUAAGAGAAGAAUGACAUUGAGAAUAACUGUUCAAUGUGUGACGGUCUCUUACCCGAAAGGAACGGCUAAAUACGUGCCAGCAGCCCGCGGUAAUACGUAUGUUCCACAGCGUUAUCCGGAUUUAUUGGGCGUAAAGCGAGCGCAGACGGUUAUUUAAGUCUGAAGUGAAAGCCCUCAGCUCAACUGAGGAAUUGCUUUGGAAACUGGAUGACUUGAGUCCAUUAGAGGAAAGUGGAACUCCAUGUUUACCGGUGAAAUGCGUAGAUAUAUGGAAGAACACCAGUGGCGAAGGCGGCUUUCUGGACUGUAACUGACGUUGAGGCUCGAAAGUGUGGGUAGCAAACAGGAUUAGAUACCCUGGUAGUCCA